GGCGGAGCCUAAACAGGGCCGCAUCAUCGUCUUUCACUAUACAGACGGCAAACUGCAGACGGUGGCAGAGAAGGAGGUUAAAGGUGCGGUUUACUCCAUGGUGGAGUUUAAUGGUAAACUGCUAGCCAGCAUCAACAGCACCGUGCGUCUGUACGAGUGGACGGCGGAGAAAGAGCUGAGGACGGAGUGUAAUCACUAUAAUAACAUCAUGGCCCUGUAUCUGAAGACUAAAGGUGACUUCAUCCUGGUGGGUGACCUGAUGCGCUCCGUGCUGCUGCUGGCCUACAAACCCAUGGAGGGCAGCUUCGA
This is a long non-coding RNA of Sinocyclocheilus anshuiensis, 309 nucleotides long. RefSeq lists it as uncharacterized. NCBI's taxonomy places the organism in Eukaryota, Metazoa, Chordata, Actinopteri, Cypriniformes, Cyprinidae. The transcript has 3 exons. The record is from RefSeq and is a predicted model, not a curated record.